Molecule: transfer RNA, 74 nt
Filed under: Rhodospirillales bacterium
Lineage: Bacteria; Pseudomonadati; Pseudomonadota; Alphaproteobacteria; Rhodospirillales
Description: tRNA-Gln
Rfam family: tRNA
About the family: Transfer RNA (tRNA) molecules are approximately 80 nucleotides in length.
Source: RNAcentral
CGCGGUGUGGACGAAGGGCAAGUCGCCAGACUUUGCGUCUGGAGAUGCAGGUUCGAGUCCUGCCGCCGCAACCA